RNAcentral lists this ribosomal RNA (422 nucleotides) under uncultured eukaryote. RNAcentral's name for it is "SSU rRNA". It matches the Rfam family "Eukaryotic small subunit ribosomal RNA", at positions 592 to 1013 of the family's 1831-position model. The record is from RNAcentral.
CAAUAGCGUAUAUUAAAGUUGUUGCAGUUAAAAGCUCGUAGUUGGAUUUCUGGUGGGAGUGAUCGGUCUGUCCCGUUCGGGAUGUGUACUAGUGUCAUCUCUUGCCAUCCUUGGGGAGAGCGUGCCUGGCAUUAGGUUGUCGGGUACGGGAUCCCCAUCCUUUACUGUGAAAAAUUAGAGUGUUUAAAGCAGGCUUAGGCCGUUGAAUACAUUAGCAUGGAAUAAUAAGAUAGGACUUUGGUGGUCUAUUUUGUUGGUUUGCACACCAAGGUAAUGAUUAAUAGGGACAGUUGGGGGUAUCCGUAUUUCGUAGUCAGAGGUGAAAUUCUUGGAUUUACGAAAGACGAACUACUGCGAAAGCAUUUACCAAGGAUGUUUUCAUUAAUCAAGAACGAAAGUUAGGGGAUCGAAGACGAUUAGAU